GUUGGCAGUGAGUGAGGCUAAGGCAGGUUCCCUUCCUGCCCCGGCCCCACAUCACUCCCGGAAGAGGCCAACAUACCCCUCUGGCUCCUGGGGG
This is a non-coding RNA of Chelonoidis abingdonii (Abingdon island giant tortoise), 94 nucleotides long. The record is from RefSeq and is a predicted model, not a curated record. Lineage: Eukaryota; Metazoa; Chordata; Testudines; Testudinidae.